This 865-nucleotide ribosomal RNA is filed under the name Vibrio harveyi. RNAcentral describes it as "bacterial SSU rRNA". It matches the Rfam family "Bacterial small subunit ribosomal RNA", at positions 399 to 1255 of the family's 1533-position model. The record is from RNAcentral. Lineage: Bacteria; Pseudomonadati; Pseudomonadota; Gammaproteobacteria; Vibrionales; Vibrionaceae.
GCGUGUGUGAAGAAGGCCUUCGGGUUGUAAAGCACUUUCAGUCGUGAGGAAGGUAGUGUAGUUAAUAGCUGCAUUAUUUGACGUUAGCGACAGAAGAAGCACCGGCUAACUCCGUGCCAGCAGCCGCGGUAAUACGGAGGGUGCGAGCGUUAAUCGGAAUUACUGGGCGUAAAGCGCAUGCAGGUGGUUUGUUAAGUCAGAUGUGAAAGCCCGGGGCUCAACCUCGGAAUAGCAUUUGAAACUGGCAGACUAGAGUACUGUAGAGGGGGGUAGAAUUUCAGGUGUAGCGGUGAAAUGCGUAGAGAUCUGAAGGAAUACCGGUGGCGAAGGCGGCCCCCUGGACAGAUACUGACACUCAGAUGCGAAAGCGUGGGGAGCAAACAGGAUUAGAUACCCUGGUAGUCCACGCCGUAAACGAUGUCUACUUGGAGGUUGUGGCCUUGAGCCGUGGCUUUCGGAGCUAACGCGUUAAGUAGACCGCCUGGGGAGUACGGUCGCAAGAUUAAAACUCAAAUGAAUUGACGGGGGCCCGCACAAGCGGUGGAGCAUGUGGUUUAAUUCGAUGCAACGCGAAGAACCUUACCUACUCUUGACAUCCAGAGAACUUUCCAGAGAUGGAUUGGUGCCUUCGGGAACUCUGAGACAGGUGCUGCAUGGCUGUCGUCAGCUCGUGUUGUGAAAUGUUGGGUUAAGUCCCGCAACGAGCGCAACCCUUAUCCUUGUUUGCCAGCACUUNCUGGUGGGAACUCCAGGGAGACUGCCGGUGAUAAACCGGAGGAAGGUGGGGACGACGUCAAGUCAUCAUGGCCCUUACGAGUAGGGCUACACACGUGCUACAAUGGCGCAUACAGAAGGGCGGCCAACU